UACGUAGGGCGCAAGCGUUGUCCGGAAUUAUUGGGCGUAAAGAGCUCGUAGGCGGUUUGUCGCGUCUGCUGUGAAAACCCGAGGCUCAACCUCGGGCCUGCAGUGGGUACGGGCAGACUAGAGUGUGGUAGGGGAGACUGGAAUUCCUGGUGUAGCGGUGGAAUGCGCAGAUAUCAGGAGGAACACCAAUGGCGAAGGCAGGUCUCUGGGCCAUUACUGACGCUGGAGGAGCGAAAAGCGUUGGGGAGCGAACAGG
RNAcentral lists this ribosomal RNA (256 nucleotides) under uncultured bacterium. RNAcentral's name for it is "partial 16S ribosomal RNA". It matches the Rfam family "Bacterial small subunit ribosomal RNA", at positions 524 to 776 of the family's 1533-position model. The record is from RNAcentral.